RNAcentral lists this transfer RNA (55 nucleotides) under Aedes aegypti (yellow fever mosquito). It matches the Rfam family "tRNA", at positions 10 to 63 of the family's 71-position model. Rfam says of the family: Transfer RNA (tRNA) molecules are approximately 80 nucleotides in length. The record is from Rfam by way of RNAcentral. Lineage: Eukaryota; Metazoa; Arthropoda; Insecta; Diptera; Culicidae.
GCUUAGUUGGUAUAGCGCUCGUCUAGCAAACAAGAGUCCUGGGUUCAAAUCCCAG